Molecule: ribosomal RNA, 608 nt
Filed under: Caulobacter sp. 16
Lineage: Bacteria; Pseudomonadati; Pseudomonadota; Alphaproteobacteria; Caulobacterales; Caulobacteraceae
Description: bacterial SSU rRNA
Rfam family: Bacterial small subunit ribosomal RNA
Source: RNAcentral
AGUCGAACGGAUCCUUCGGGAUUAGUGGCGGACGGGUGAGUAACACGUGGGAACGUGCCCUUUGGUUCGGAACAACUCAGGGAAACUUGAGCUAAUACCGGAUGUGCCCUUCGGGGGAAAGAUUUAUCGCCAUUGGAGCGGCCCGCGUCUGAUUAGCUAGUUGGUGGGGUAAAGGCCCACCAAGGCGACGAUCAGUANCUGGUCUGAGAGGAUGAUCAGCCNNAUUGGGACUGAGACACGGCCCAAACUAAUACGGGAGGCAGCAGUGGGGAAUCUUGCGCAAUGGGCGAAAGCCUGACGCAGCCAUGCCGCGUGAAUGAUGAAGGUCUUAGGAUUGUAAAAUUCUUUCACCGGGGACGAUAAUGACGGUACCCGGAGAAGAAGCCCCGGCUAACUUCGUGCCAGCAGCCGCGGUAAUACGAAGGGGGCUAGCGUUGCUCGGAAUUACUGGGCGUAAAGGGAGCGUAGGCGGACUGUUAAGUUAGAGGUGAAAGCCCAGGGCUCAACCUUGGAAUUGCCUUUGAUACUGGCAGUCUUGAGUACGGAAGAGGUAUGUGGAACUCCGAGUGUAGAGGUGAAAUUCGUAGAUAUUCGGAAGAACACCAGUG